UACGUAGGGGGCAAGCGUUGUUCGGAUUUACUGGGCGUAAAGGGCGCGUAGGCGGCGCGGUAAGUCACUUGUGAAAUCUCUGAGCUUAACUCAGAACGGCCAAGUGAUACUGCAGUGCUAGAGUGCAGAAAGGGCAAUCGGAAUUCUUGGUGUAGCGGUGAAAUGCGUAGAUAUCAAGAGGAACACCUGAGGCGAAGGCGGGUUGCUAGGCUGACACUGACGCUGAGUGCGCGAAAGCCAGGGGAGCAAACGGG
This 254-nucleotide ribosomal RNA is filed under the name uncultured bacterium. RNAcentral describes it as "partial 16S ribosomal RNA". It matches the Rfam family "Bacterial small subunit ribosomal RNA", at positions 524 to 776 of the family's 1533-position model. The record is from RNAcentral.